CUAGCUUGCUAGAACCUACACACAGGUGCUGCACGGCUGUCGUCAGCUCGUGUCGUGAGAUGUUGGGUUAAGUCCCGCAACGAGCGCAACCCUCGUCCUUAGUUGCUAACAGUUCGGCUGAGCACUCUAGGGAGACUGCCUUCGCAAGGAGGAGGAAGGUGAGGACGACGUCAAGUCAUCAUGGCCCUUACGGCCAGGGCUACACACGUGCUACAAUGGGGCGUACAGAGAGCUGCGAUACCGCGAGGUGGAGCCAAUCUCUUAAAGCGUCUCUCAGUUCGGAUUGUUCUCUGCAACUCGACUCCAUGAAGCCGGAAUCGCUAGUAAUCGCGGAUCAGCAUGCCGCGGUGAAUACGUUCCCGGGCCUU
This 368-nucleotide ribosomal RNA is filed under the name uncultured Sulfuricurvum sp. RNAcentral describes it as "bacterial SSU rRNA". It matches the Rfam family "Bacterial small subunit ribosomal RNA", at positions 1013 to 1382 of the family's 1533-position model. The record is from RNAcentral. Lineage: Bacteria; Pseudomonadati; Campylobacterota; Epsilonproteobacteria; Campylobacterales; Sulfurimonadaceae.